UUGAAUGAGAAAGAAGGAAUGAAAGAAGGACCAUGAGUCCUUCAGGUUUCCCUGUAGCCCGUGAAAAAAUAUAACAAGCUAAUGAAAUGUUGAGCUAGUUGUUCUGAAAGGCAUAAACAGGAUGUAUUCAGUUGCUUCUUUUCUCUUUCCCUUUUGUUUUAGCCACCAUUUUUUCAUUCUCUCUUAUCUGCAUUGCCAUGGAUGUGUCUGUUCCUUUGUUUCUAACCAUUGGUAGGUACUCCAUGACAUGCAGCCAACAAUUUUAUGCCUCUACUCACCAGGAAUACACACGCAUGCUGCCUAGGAGGAGUUUCUGAGGGAGAAAAGGCAUUAGCAAGAAGUAGCCCAGAGAAGUGUUGGCAUUAGCAACACCUUUAUUUAUUUUAAAGUUAGAACAUGCAACUACAUAUGUGUGAGGUGGUAAGGACUGGAAAUGUUCUUUACUCAAUAAUCAUCUGUGCCAGGCACAGUGCCAGAUACUGUGGGAGGUUCAAAGAUGGGUGAGACAUAGUCCCUGACCUCAAGGAACGUAUGGUUUAAAGACAAAACGGAUCAGCAGUUCUCUAAUUGGGAUACAAAAUUAAGAACAACAAGAGGUUAUUGAGGGCCAUCCCAAUAAUUCUGACCAGGGGAUCAGGGAAGUGUUCAUGCAAGGUUGAGCCUGAGAAGGAUCUUGAAGGAAUAGGACAUGCAAGGGUGGAUGGGAGGCGCUGGGGUGGAAGUGCAAUACAUUUUAGCCUGGAAGAACUAAAUAAGCAAAGGCAUCGAAUAGAGGAGGGGUUGCAUAGGUUGAAGGAGCAAGAAGGAAGUCAGUACGGCUGUAGCACGUGCGUGGGAAACAUAGAGGGCUGUGGUUGGGGAGAAGGCUGGCAAGAUGAGAUGGGACCAGAUCCUGGUGAAUCUUCGGUGUCACGCAGGGAGUCAGAGUCACUCAGCAAUGAUUCAGCAAUGGGAAGGAAAUGAAGGUUCUUAAAGGAGGGAAACGACAUUUUCACACCCAUGUGGAAAUGGGAGAAUUAAUACCAGAGACACUGAGACCAAAAUGUGUGUCUCUGGUUGAAGAAAUUAUGACUAUUUUACAUUUUUCCCCUUUGAGUCACCUGCAGUUUCUAAUUUUCCCAUAGUGAAUGUGGACAUGUGGUGAAAAUUUAAAAAUAGAAUACAUAAAAUAGUGUUUAAAGGGUAAGAUACACAUGGGGGAAAAGGAGGAGGCCAAUGAGAGUGGAGUGUCUGCCAUUGGUAAGGAGGAACCUGGCUCUGGAGGCCACAGGCUGGAGGCCAGCCAGGAGGAAGCUGGCAAAAAGGGGAAGGAGAGGAUUUCAUUCAUAUAGUCUCCCAAUAUCUGCUGAGUGUUUGCCUUGGGCUGGGCACUGUUCUAGGAACUUACAAUCAUGUAUUUGUGAAAUGGCUGAGAAAUGGAGAAACAGCUGCGUGCAGUAAAAGGAUGGACAGGGAAGGCCUUUUUUUUUUUUUUAGGCUAUAAGAGAUUUGAGUGUGUUUGUAAGCUCAGGGGAAGGAGCAUGUGGAGAAUGAAACACAAAAUGUCAAAACCAAUGGAAAAGAUAAAAGAUGAGGUCCAAGAGCCAAUCAGAAGGAAUAAGGUCAGGUUUGCAAAUGCAGUGUGUAUGUGUGUGUGUGUAUGUAUCUGUGUCCCAGAAAAUAUCUAAAUUAGAGAAUAUAUGAACAUCUGUAUAAAUGUGUACACAUGAGCACAUUUUGGAUUUGAAUUUAUAGUGACUCCUGAAGAUAAAGAUUUGGGCAGAAUUGGAGGCAUUUUUCUCUGCCAUCUACAAAAGUGUCCAAGGGCUAUUCAGAAAUAGGAAACAAUAUACCACAACCCCAAUAAACAAAGCAAGUGAGGAAAUGCAGUUUUCCCCAUGUUAUGUUCCAAAGAGCAGAAAAUAUUACAAGAGGAUGGGAGAAGAAUGGUUACACAGGAAAACACGCUGCACAAAGGGUGCAGUGCAACAGGUGGAAGGUGUGCGUGAUACCAACAUGACUGCCAGGCCGGCUGAGAGUAUACAAGCCUCUGGGAGACCUGGCUGCCACAUGGCUGGACCAUCAUGUCUCUGGACAGGGAUUGAUGGAUGUGCCUCCCAUGUGCUUUGAUGUUCCUUAUCCCCUUCAAAGUUGCCUGUUUUGAAGAAUUUGUGUUUGGCCAGAGUUAAAUGACCCACUUUGCUUGGGAUUUCUCUCCCUGCCUCAGUGAGAGCGCAAUCCAACUUGUUUCAGGUGACACCCUGAGGAGACAAGCAGAGGACUUUGAGGACUAUGAAAGCCAUUUUUUAUAGUCACUUGCUGAAGCUCAGCUGACCCUCCCAGGAAAUGGAAAGAUUGAGGCAGGCCCAGGCACUGCAGUCUGUGGCAACCGGGUCAGGAAGGCGCGCUGAAGUUAAUUAUCCAGCCUGGCAUCCCCACAAGCUUGCUUGUUUGGUGUUGCUUCUUUCUUAAUCAAGAAGAGACUCCCAUGGUGGUGUCUUAAUGUAAACAAAGCAAUUUGUGACUUGAUUAACAAAUCAAGGAUGGACAAACAUGUCCUUUUCUCCCUUCUCCUCUUUACUAGGGACUUGGACUAUUUUAAGGAGUGUCUCUCGAUGUGAAAGGCAGUGGCUGCCUGAGGUUUGUCUGGUUUGGUGUCUUCCUGUGUUUCUCCCUUCUUACCACAUCCACAGCAAGGGAUUCAUUCUAGGCAUUCCAUAGAGACUGAACCCAUUCCUUCUGUGUCCUGGGAAAUGUAAAAGUUGGAAAUGCAACCCCCAUUAAAAGCAAUUCAACAUGUGAUUUGUCCAGGUGAUGAGGUAUGUAGCUAAUAUUAGUCGCCGUGAUUUAUCGAGAGAAUAACUACCUGGUGAUAGAUUUUUCAUGAAUGUAUCUCAAGUCAUCUAUCACUGUGACAAUGAACUUUUCAUAUCUGGGCAGGCCUGUGAUGGUUACAGAAACCAAUAACUCCUUUAAUAGAACUGCAUGUCCAUUAAAUUACUGGAGGGAAAGAAAGAAAACAGGAAGGUCUUACAGCUAAAAAGGGCACAACAUAGGGGAAAAAAUAACAAAAAAAGAUUCUAUGACGAGACAUUGUGAAAAAUCAACACAAGGUUUUUGUUUUGUUUUGUUUUGUUUUUUGUCCUUAGAAAUUAAUUCUACAAUGUCUUCUUUUUCUCACAAACACCAUCACCCCACGUUGAAAUGAAGCUGCUGUCUCCUCUGAAUGCACACAUGGACAAAGAAGGGCCCUGAGAAAUCCCUAGUACACAUACAUCCUGAACCCUCAGGCCUCACUGGUGUGAUGUGUUCCCUUAACUAAACUGGUACAGUGCAAAUAAUGACUUGUACUAGUUUUCUAUUUGCAGUUUUAACAAAUUUCCACAAAUUUGAUGGCUUAAAUAAUAGGAUUUUAUUAUCUUGCCAUUAGUUCUGAAGGUCAGAAGUCUGACAUUGGUUACUGGGCUAAAAUCACUGGGGCGCAUUUCUUUCUGAAGACACUAGGGAGGAAUCAGUUUUCUUUUUUUUUUUUUUUCUAGUUUCUAGAGGCUGCCCAAAUUCCUUGGUUUCUGGCCUCUUCCUCUAUCUUCAAAGCCAGCAAGGGUGGGUUGAAUCUUCCCAUCACAUGACUCUGACCUCUUCUUUUUUCCUCUUCCACUUUUAAAGACCUUUGUUAUUACAUUGGCCUCUAGGGAUAAUCCAGGAUAAACUCCCUAUUUUAAAGGCAGCCGAUUUAGCAGUCUAAUUCCACCUGCAACCUUAAUUCUCUUUUUACCACAUUAACUAACACAUUUACGGGUUCCAGGGAUUGAGUCACAGACAUUUUUGCAAGGACGUUUUUCUGCUUACCACAGGACUUAAAUUUAUUUGUUGUGUUUUUUCUUUGUGUUUCUUUGCCUCAAAAUAGUAAUAGAACAAGCAAAGCGAAGUGAUCUCUUAAGGCAGGUUCCCCAAACAGGUUAGCAUUCAAAGGUCAGCUCUCGCUCUUGCUCCUUGCUGGUCUUAGGCAAGUUACUAACCUCUCUCCAAACCUCAGCUCAUCAUCUGUAAAAUGGGGAUAAUACAAUCCUCUUACAGAAAUUGUGAAGGAGAUGGGAUGAUGUUUGUAAAGCUUCACCGUAACACCUAGCAUGUAGUAAGUGCUCAAUGAAAGUUAAAGUUUUUAAAAAGUUAGAGUAAAUGUGGUGGGGUGGGAGUGAUGAGAGAGAAGAGACAGUGCAAUCUAGAUCUCUGUACCCUGAAUCCCCCUAGAUGGUUCAGCCUUCCUUGUCGCUCUCCAUGGGUUGGAUCCUGCUCACAGAAGCCUCUCAGACUCUCUGGGUGGGUGGGAGAGGAAAAGAAAAGUUCAGCUGUCAUCUUUGCCGCCCUUGUUCUGUGGUUGCUGUUUUCUUUUCCUUUGCUGCCUCCUUCCAUCGCUGGCCCUCCACUGCAGACAGGCCGGGGGAUCGCAGCCUCGGUGCAGAGCUGGCUCAGGCUGAGUGUCCCGAAUGGAAACUGCAGGAGCAGUGGGGAGACAUGCAGCUGAGCCCCACCUCUGCCAGUUCACAAUCACUCACUGAGCCAGCCCAGCACGGUCCAAGCCCUAAACUCCCCGAGGCAUUUUGAUUAGAUUAGCCAGUGAGAGCCAGGGUCUUCCAGGACUAGUUAUGCCUGACUUUGCACAAAAGUCACUCCCUGCGAAGCCCUUGCCACUGCUCCUGGGGAGGGGAACCCAAAGUCCAGCUGACCCUUCCCCACCAGUGCAGGAGGACACUCUGGUGGUGAUCAGGGCCUGGGAGGGACCCAAGGAAUCUAAUGCAGAUGGUGGGAAAGCCUGACCUUCCAGAGCAGCAAGGUUACUUACUGGGUUGACAAAAAAGGCAAAAAGUGUUAGCAUACAGUGUUGAUAAGGAUGCAGGGAAUCUCUACAUCCUUUGGGAAAGUAAACAAACAUCUUCUCAAAUGAAAAGCACACAUACAUACCUUUCUGCCCAGCAAUCCAACUUUGAUCAAGCCUAUUGUAUUGAAGAAAUUAAAAUACUAGUACAUAACGUUGUUUGAACAGGAAUAUUUAUGAACACAAUACUUAUACAGUACAAAAAACCUUGAAAAACUUAAAUAUUCAUCAAUAGAAGGAAUUAUGUCACCAUUUAAAAGGAGAUAUUUAACUAUUGCUCUUGAGGAAUUUGGUUGCAGAGAAAUACAUAUUACAAUUUUGCAGAAAUGAAACAAAGCGAAACCCAAAGCCAACCUCCAUAUAUGUAUGUGUGUAUAUGUGUGUAACAGCACGGGGAAAGGCAUGGAAGAACACACGUCAACCUGCUACCAUUUAUUAGUGGAGGGAGGAUGUUUUCUUCCCUCUCUGUACUCUUGAAUUGCUUCAUUGUUUACAAUAACUUCAUUACAUUUUUCAAUGUUGGGAGAGGAAUUUAAGAUAAAUGGUGGGAGUGAGCGGGGGCAGGGAAGAGAAGUUGUCAAGGAAGAUACAGGAGAAAUCCCAUGCUGGGAGAACCUGGCCACUCUAGUUGGGGGUUUGCAGAAAGCAAAAGCCAGGGGUCUGGCCUGGGCACUGAGGGGGAUGGGGUGGAGUAGAGUCUGGGGGUGCACACAUUGUUGAGCGACCUGGCUAUUUGAACUCAAGGAGCUUAUCUAGAACAUCCUUUGAGAAGGCCAGAGAGGAUGAUGGAUCACUGGGUAGUAGCCUGCAGUAAGAGGAAUUUAAAACGCUUUACCAUAAAGAAUAACUGCUCCCAAAAUAUUAAAAGAAUGAGGUUCUCAAGGUUAUUUUGAAGAAUUCGGUGAGAUCCACCUGAGGAAAUUAAAUUAGUACUACCUAGCACGAGGUAACUGGCAUGUUGUCCGAAAGAGCUUUACCUAUACUGUCUCAUUUGAUACAAGGUACAAUCCUAUGAGGUAAGUAUUAUUAUCGUUAUUUUACAGAGGAGGAAACUGAGGUAUAGCGGGGUUCAGUAUCCCGCCCAUGGUCAUGCAGGUGGGAACAGGAGUGUUCCGGCUCCGAAGUCCUGGCUCUUGGAAGCCACACUAAAGGCUGCGUCCUUCCAGGGCGCAACUCUGGGCGCAAAUGUUACACUCUCCUCCCCUCACCCGGUGGGGGUGGAGUGGGGAGAAAGGGCCUUCUCCGUGCGCCUGCCGGGAUGGCCGGAGUUCGGUGGGGCCAAGCUGAGGUUCCUCUCCUGGGGCUGGGCAGGGUUUGGGCUAACUCUUCUCCCGCCGGCAUUCGGGUUUGGGGGCCGAGGCUGCCCAAGAGUUAACCUCCAAAAGGGCCCUGCAGGGGGUGCUUUCUCUACACUGUUCUUCUCUUGGGUAGUGGAGGGGUUGGUGGGGGAACCACAAGCUACAAGAUUACAAAGUUGCUAGACUCCUUAGCCUAGGGAGGUACGAUGAUUUGGGACCGGGUGUGGAGGUGUGGGCGGGGUGGGGGGUGCGGUGUCUUCCGGAGCCCUAAGCUGGCGUCCUCAGCCGCUCCUUUCCGUUCCUACCCCCCACCCCCAGCUCACCACUUCGUUUUCACGUCUGGGAGGGGAGCGGGGGGCGGUGAUGGGGAGGAGACCAACGCUUUGAUUUCCCCUGGUAGGUGUUCUGAGUGGCUAGGGAUCCUUCCCUCGCGUGCCCCUGGGUCGGGGCGGUAGACAGCUCCAGAGGAUGGACGGCCAGCGUGAAAGCUAGAGCUCGUGUAUUGUAGGGAAAAGUGGGGGUGGCGGGGAGAUAAUGGUUGAAUACCUUCCUGAUAUUUGAGGGAGAAUUCGGCAAGGGGGAAAUCUCUGGCUCCAUCUUUGGCUGACUCAUCGGAUUUCCUGGGGUGGGCUCCGGGAGAAGGCUCGGGGCUGGCGCUCCUGCCUCGGUCCGUCCAGCACCAAGACGCCAGGUUCCCGGCGGCCCUGGCCCUCUGGGGGUACUGAUUACAGUGGAAAGAUCUCUGCGUCCGCAGAAGGAGAAUUUGUGUCAAGGUUCUUGUGCGCCUUUUCUUCUCUGGGGGUUCUGAAUGAAAAUAAGUCCCAAGGUCAUCUUUGUCCCUUAGCUCUUGCCCAGAGCUCUAUCUGCGUCUCCAAGCUUCUCCAUCAUCUCCUUUUGUGUUUCAGGUGAUCGCCCACCUUUCUUCCCUUCUAACCCUACUUCCGGAUCUUUUUCCCCCUCGUUUCUCCCCGUGUCCCCCAUUUUCCACGCUCGAGUCCUUUUUCUCGUGCCAGUUUCCUCCCUCCGUCCGAUUUCCUUUCCCACGGGCCCUGGAGUUCCUCGGGCCCAGGCAGGGCUCUGGAACUGGCCUGACAUGUUCAUAAUAAGGAUUGUCAGACACGGUACUCAAGUGAACUACCUUGUCUUGAACUUACUAGGACAGAGGAUGUGAUAAAGGAGGUCCUUCUCUAAUCCCAACAGCUCCUCAAAGGCUCGAAGCCAGCCUGAGUGGGCCACUUGAAGAGCCACGGGCUGUGGGAAGAUACGGAGAGGCUACUCCGACGUGGGGAGGAGGUAGGUAUGACGAUGUCCUCUGUGCCUGAAGCCCACUCCGUCCCACUCCCAAUACUCCCACCAUCUCAUCAGUGGGGCAUGCUCGCCCUGGUUAAUGUCAUCUCCCUGAACUGCCAACGAGGCUAGCAGCUUUGCUGCUUAAAACCGGUAACAUCAACCAACAUAUGGAGAUGUCAUCAUGAUUAAACGGCAAAUUAUAGCCGAAGACGGCGCGAUAAUAAUCUAAACAAUCACCACAAGAAGAAACGUUCUCUAACGCUCCAGUUGCGGAAGCCUGCGUUUCCAAGACUCGCGGCCCUGCGUUCCCAGGGAUAUCUCCGUGCUCACGUGAGCGUGGUCCUCGGCUUGGGACAGACAAGGGAGCCCCAGACAGGACGAUAAGGAAGCACGGUUUCGGGGAAGUGGCCAAGUGGCUUAAGUGAGGAGGGUCUGCUUGAAGGUGGCAGGUCUGCUUGAAGCGGCUUCCUGAAGAGGUGAGCUUAUCACCGGCAUCCUGUGUCCCUUCAGGUUCCCUGAGAACUGGGUCAAGAAAGCAGGUUGGGGUAGGAAACAAACGACACCCCCAUUUCAAACAAUAACUUUUAUUUUAUACUUCUCUAUACUUUGUAGCAAAUCUUUUUUUGCUGAAUUUAAUUUAUAAUAAACUUUUUAAAUUACAUCUCUCUCUCUUUUUUUUUUAAAAUCAAGGCUCUUUUAUGUCAAAAUCUUUUUUUAGCUAUAUUUUAGAUUAACAUUUAACAUCCCCCCCUUGUGAUCUAUACCGUUGGAUAUUCAGGUAUUACUGUGUGUGUAACAGCUAAAACAAGAGGGAGGAGGGAAAAUAAAGGCAGUGAACUUGGACGGAUGCAUCAACAACAGCAGAUAAAGCUAACCCCUCAGUGACCAUAGCAGCAUGUCUUCUGGAAGCCUUUACUCUUACCCCAGAGAUUUCCUCAGCCCCUUCCCUCUCUCCCUCCUAUCCUCCAAACACAAAGCCAACAGUCUGUCCUUUCGCUUUUCUUGAGGAGAAAUGUGCAGUGGAAAUGAUCAAAACAAGAUACUGUGGAAGAACGACGUGAGCGUGAAUUAUUCACCGUAUGUUUCGUCCGUGGACAUCUCUCUUGAAUUCAUUCCCCUGGCCUUCUCCUCUCCUCGCCUUCCUAUUAGGAGGAGCCCAUCAUUUUUCAUGUUACUAGCAUGAUUAAUAUAGUAGGUGGCCCAGGGCCGUUCCUGAGAUUCUUUUGC
This 8670-nucleotide long non-coding RNA is filed under the name Homo sapiens (human). Its description in RNAcentral is "HSALNT0332042". The record is from RNAcentral. Lineage: Eukaryota; Metazoa; Chordata; Mammalia; Primates; Hominidae.